GGAAUAUUGCGCAAUGGGGGAAACCCUGACGCAGCGACGCCGCGUGGGUGAGGAAGGCUUUCGGGUCGUAAAACCCUGUCAGGAGGGAAGAAAUGCUUACAGGCUAAUAUCUUGUAAGUUUGACGGUACCUUCAAAGGAAGCACCGGCUAACUCCGUGCCAGCAGCCGCGGUAAUACGGAGGGUGCAAGCGUUGUUCGGAAUCACUGGGCGUAAAGGGCGCGUAGGCGGCUUGGCAAGUCAGAUGUGAAAGCCCACGGCUUAACCGUGGAAGUGCAUUUGAAACUGCUUGGCUUGAGUAUCAGAGGGGAAAGUGGAAUUCCCGGUGUAGAGGUGAAAUUCGUAGAUAUCGGGAGGAAUACCGGUGGCGAAGGCGACUUUCUGGCUGAAUACUGACGCUGAGGCGCGAAAGCGUGGGGAGCAAACAGGAUUA
RNAcentral lists this ribosomal RNA (431 nucleotides) under uncultured Desulfobulbaceae bacterium. RNAcentral describes it as "bacterial SSU rRNA". It matches the Rfam family "Bacterial small subunit ribosomal RNA", at positions 358 to 780 of the family's 1533-position model. Lineage: Bacteria; Pseudomonadati; Thermodesulfobacteriota; Desulfobulbia; Desulfobulbales; Desulfobulbaceae. The record is from RNAcentral.